GAUGAACGCUAGCGGCAGGCUUAACACAUGCAAGUCGAGGGGUAACAGGAGUGCUUGCACUCGCUGACGACCGGCGCACGGGUGCGUAACGCGUAUAGAACCUACCUUUUACUGAGGGAUAGCCUUUAGAAAUGAAGAUUAAUACCUCAUGGUAUUGUAAUUUGGCAUCAGAUUAUAAUUAAAGAUUUAUUGGUAAAAGAUGGCUAUGCGUCUUAUUAGCUAGAUGGUAAGGUAACGGCUUACCAUGGCAACGAUAAGUAGGGGCCCUGAGAGGGGGAUCCCCCACACUGGUACUGAGACACGGACCAGACUCCUACGGGAGGCAGCAGUGAGGAAUAUUGGGCAAUGGAGGCAACUCUGACCCAGCCAUGCCGCGUGCAGGAAGACUGCCCUAUGGGUUGUAAACUGCUUUUAUACAGGAAGAAACACACCUACGUGUAGGUGCUUGACGGUACUGUAAGAAUAAGCACCGGCUAACUCCGUGCCAGCAGCCGCGGUAAUACGGAGGGUGCAAGCGUUAUCCGGAAUCAUUGGGUUUAAAGGGUCCGCAGGCGGUCAAUUAAGUCAGAGGUGAAAUCCCAUAGCUCAACUAUGGAACUGCCUUUGAUACUGGUUGACUUGAGUUAUACGGAAGUAGAUAGAAUAAGUAGUGUAGCGGUGAAAUGCAUAGAUAUUACUUAGAAUACCGAUUGCGAAGGCAGUCUACUACGUAUAUACU
This 718-nucleotide ribosomal RNA is filed under the name bacterium IMCC7870. Its description in RNAcentral is "bacterial SSU rRNA". It matches the Rfam family "Bacterial small subunit ribosomal RNA", at positions 28 to 741 of the family's 1533-position model. The record is from RNAcentral.